Molecule: antisense RNA, 104 nt
Filed under: Chitinimonas taiwanensis DSM 18899
Lineage: Bacteria; Pseudomonadati; Pseudomonadota; Betaproteobacteria; Neisseriales; Chitinibacteraceae
Description: Vibrio RNA AS9
Rfam family: Vibrio RNA AS9
About the family: Identified by direct cloning an parallel sequencing experiments with 5S/tRNA depletion. Confirmed by Northern blot.
Source: Rfam by way of RNAcentral
CUGCUUGCAGCGCGCUUCGGUCAGCGUCAGGCAGAUCAGGCCGCGCGCAUGCUUGGCCAUGAAGUUGAUUGCUUCCGGCGUCACAUGCUCGGCAGCCAUGACCA